This 523-nucleotide ribosomal RNA is filed under the name uncultured Glomus. RNAcentral describes it as "SSU rRNA". It matches the Rfam family "Eukaryotic small subunit ribosomal RNA", at positions 569 to 1093 of the family's 1831-position model. Lineage: Eukaryota; Fungi; Glomeromycota; Glomeromycetes; Glomerales; Glomeraceae. The record is from RNAcentral.
AGCAGCCGCGGUAAUUCCAGCUCCAAUAGCGUAUAUUAAAGUUGUUGCAGUUAAAAAGCUCGUAGUUGAAUUUCGGGGUCAGUAGGUUGGUCGUGCCUACGGUAUGUACUGGCUUUACUGAUUCCUCCUUCUUGAAGAACUGUAAUGUCAUUAAUUUGGUGUUGCAGGGAAACAGGACUGUUACUUUGAAAGAAUUAGAGUGUUUAAAGCAGGCUAACGCUUGAAUACAUUAGCAUGGAAUAAUGAAAUAGGACGUUUGAUCCUAUUUUGUUGGUUUCUAGGAUUGACGUAAUGAUUAAUAGGGAUAGUUGGGGGCAUUAGUAUUCAAUUGUCAGAGGUGAAAUUCUUGGAUUUAUUGAAGACUAACUACUGCGAAAGCUUUUGCCAAGGAUGUUUUCAUUAAUCAAGAACGAAAGUUAGGGGAUCGAAGACGAUCAGAUACCGUCGUAGUCUUAACCAUAAACUAUGCCGACUAGGGAUCGGAUGAUGUUAAUUUUUUAAUGACUCAUUCGGCGCCUUACGG